GUUAUACGUGUCUCCUUAAUAUUCAGGCCAUAAUGAGCAAUUUGCCAGUACAAUGGGGAUCUGAUAAGAACUCAAGAUUUGCAAGAAGAACAAGAAGAUAAUCAUGGCAUUCUUGACAGUAUAUCAGCAGUGUAUAUAAACUGGACUGUGAUGGACCUUUGUCUCAUACAACUGGGAAAAGCUCAGCACCCCAGCCAAAGUUGAAUUGGAUUUCAGCUGGAUCAUUAAUUUUACCCCUAGUUUUGCAUCCAGAUGCUUGAGUAGAUGUGGUCUCUCUGUGUCUCCUACUCUGGAGUUGCCUGGUAGAGCUCAAGGUUGUGCAUGAAAGAACAAAGGAAGAAAAAUAAUCCACUCACACCAUCAACAAAUCCCACCCUGGAAAACGACUCCACAACAAUACCCGCUUCCGGUCCAAUUCUGAUGACGUCACUUCUGUCCAGCCCGAAUGACGUCACUUCCGGUCCAUUGAUGAUGACGUCACUUCCUUCCAGCCAGAAUGAUGUCACUUCCGGUGUUUUGUUGAUGAUGUCACAUGCCACAUUGUCUCCAAUUGCCAUUUUGUCUACUGUAUAAAAGCCAUCCAUUUUGAUACCCUAUUGUCGAAUGUCUAAUUGAAUUUUGAAGCUAUUUUGACCAUUUAUUGCAUCCAAGCAAUAUAGGGGGCAAUACCCCAACACUUAA
Molecule: long non-coding RNA, 681 nt
Organism: Polypterus senegalus (gray bichir)
Lineage: Eukaryota; Metazoa; Chordata; Cladistia; Polypteriformes; Polypteridae
Exons: 5
Source: RefSeq, a predicted model, not a curated record